RNAcentral lists this long non-coding RNA (889 nucleotides) under Fukomys damarensis (Damara mole-rat). RNAcentral describes it as "lncRNA (ENSFDAG00000025952.1)". Lineage: Eukaryota; Metazoa; Chordata; Mammalia; Rodentia; Bathyergidae. The record is from RNAcentral.
CAGCCUUCGUAGUAACGUAAUAGUAAACAUACCAUUUAGAGCGCAUCACGUUCUAGUCUAAGGUCGUUACGUAUUUAAUGAAUUUCUUCCUCUGUGUAAUCCUAUCAAAUACUUACUAUUAUUAUCCCAAUUUGCAGAUUAGAAAACUGAUGCACAGAGAGGUGAAGUCAUUUCCCUAAGACUACACAGCUGGUAAACGACGCAGAUGAGAUAUAAAUCACGCAAGUGAGCCGAGUAUUUCAGUUAAUUUUCAGCACGACCAUGAGUGAGCCCAGGAAUCACUCCCAGCCUGGUGCCUGAGGCCCCCCGGGCAGUCGAAGGGAGCCCUGCACCAGGACAACCCCGGGGUCCCUGCCAGUCCCCUGCGGGCUCGCGCACCAGGAGCUCGUUCCCAGACGCACGGAUGCAGCAUUUGCGAAACAGAGCAUUCAGUUCGACCCCCGGCUGCCCAGCGGCACCUGAGACACGCGCUAAGUGUGACGAGGUGCGGCUGACGGGUUUGAGCUGACGUGUGCCUUCGGCAGGCGGAGACCCAGUUCCUUUGCUCAUCGGUCCUUCCCGCCUAUUUGGCGCAUUUCCAAGGCCUGACCGGAGCUUUGCACCCGCCUCUCUGCAGCCGUCACCCCAUGGAGGAAGAGUCUCACAGCUCCGACACACGGCUUCUCCAGACCCUAGGUGCUGCUUCAGCGCCUGCUAAACAUUCGUAAGGGCGUCAGGGCUGCCGUCAGAACUCUCAGGUCUCUGUUAGGGCUCUGUAAGCGUUACUCUGGGAAGGAGACUGCCUUUUCAGAGCUUCAGCUGUUCUUUGUAUAACAAAAGGUAGAAGUGGAACAGAUACAGUGUACAUUUUAUGGUCAAGAAGGAGCUUUAGAUGCAGUUAUUGACAGAA